Molecule: long non-coding RNA, 5508 nt
Filed under: Sus scrofa (pig)
Lineage: Eukaryota; Metazoa; Chordata; Mammalia; Artiodactyla; Suidae
Description: lncRNA (ENSSSCG00030040807.1)
Source: RNAcentral
UUUUUUCUUUUUUUUAUAUAAUGAUUUUUAUUUUUUUAUUAUAGCUGGUUUACAGUGUUCUGUCCAUUUUCUACUGUGCAGCAACGUGACCCAGUCACACAUACACGUAUACAUUCUUUUUUCUCACAUGAUCGUGCUCCAUUGUAAGUGUUUUGUAAUUCAUUUUUCAUGUUUCACUAUGUCCCUUUUCAUGUCCCUUUUUUAUUUUUCGUUCGUUUAUCUUUUACGACAAAACUGCCUUCUGGCCCAUUUGUUAUGCGGGAAAAUGGGUUCAGGUAAAAAUACCUGCAGCAAAGAUGUUUAUGGCAAAGGAGCUGAAGAGGAAAUUCCAGGCAGAAAAUUAACCAGGUACGGGACACGGCUAAACCGUUGUGCACACAAUUCCUAGUGUCCGUGGUCUCUCUUCUCGGGAAUCUGACAUCCCAGCAGAGGAAAGGGUUAACAAAUAAAGAAAUUGAAACCUGUCGUUGGAAAACAAGACUUCACUUUUUGGGUCUGUAUCCACCUGACGCUGCUUGCUUGCAGCUGGCCCGUCUGCAAGCUGGCUACUCUGUCCAGACGCCUGGACCUGUCCCAGGACACAGCAUCUCCGCCACAUUCAAAGCUAUGGGUCCACGACCCCAGGGUCCGUUGGGCUCCUUUACAGCUUCAGUCAGCAACCUCCACAUCCCAUUACGGAGGCUCCAUGACUUAGGAUGGCACACGCAUCUUUCUCUAAGGAAGAGCUUCGGAGCUGAAGUGGUCCAAGGCUGAGAAGGCUCAUGUCCACUCAUCAGGCACCUGGGGAGACCAUCUCAGAAGUAGAGGGGGGUGUGUUUUGUUCAGUCCUGAUGCUUGGCUCCUGAUGCAAGAGGCUGUUUCUAAUAUUUCUGGCAUCCCCUGCAUUCUCAAUGCCUGUGCUCUGCCCCCGGGGCUUGCAUCCUGGGGGUUCCCAGCUUCGGGGGCUUGCAACGCUGUCCCUUGGUGCACAGGAAGCAACGAUGAAAUUUCCAUCUCGUGUCUGAUGAGGAGGCUCAAAGUGGAGGGUAGUUUGAAGAGGUUUAAAUCCAGGCGAACGCUUCUGCCGUCACAUGGUUCCCAAGAGGCCAGGGAUCGAACCUAUGUCCUCAUGGAUGCUAGUGGGGAUCAUUAACAGCUGACCCAUGAUGGGAACUCCGUCCACGACCUUUAUGAGCAGCGUAAUGGUUGGUGGCUACCUUUGAAUUUCAGAGCUGCCUUUGAUUUUAGGUGGAUCCCUAGGAAACAAAGGCCAUGCAAGCAUUGGGGGUCUGCAAAAAUAGCCGUUUCCUGGGUUCAGUUUAAUACAUCCAACACCCGAAUCAAAGUCCAUGAGUAUUUGAGCACCUUCUUUAUAAAGCCCCUGAGCUUGGUGCUGGACAUACAGUGGUAACAAGACACCCCGUCCCCAUGCUUUUGGAGAUUCUCAGUAAAGAUGAGGACUUUUUAAAUCACAACCUGUCACAAUGCAUGAGGAGGAAGUGGGUCAAAAAUGUCUCCUCUGGCGGGACAGAGUACUAGGUCUGAUGAAAAACUGUGUGAGCCAGGUGCAAACUUUAGCGUGUUCAGUGCCUCGUAGAGCAGAGCUACUUUCAAGGUAAUCCCCAGAGAGGUGUUUGCAGGCAUUCCCACUGUGCAUCUGUGGGUUAAGAACCCAACUAGUAUCCAUGAGGAUGUGGGUUUGAUCCCUGGCCUCGCUCAGGGGGUUAAGGAUCAGGCAUUGCCAUGAGCUGUGGUACAGGUCACAGAUGGGGUUCAGAUCUGGUAUUGCUGUCGCUAUUGUGUAGGCUGGCAGCUGCAGCUCCGAUUUGACCCCUAGCCUGGGAACGUACAUAUUUCUCAGGUGCCGCCCUAAAAAGAGAUGUUAUCAAAACAAAUGAAGUCACUCACCAGGGCUCCUUUCCUCCAACCCAAUAAAAACUGAGAAAGACUGUCCGGGUGGUUAAUGUUUAUAAAUCAGCCCAGAGGCCAAGUCCAGCCCAUCACCUGUUUUUGGAAAUCAAGUUUUAUUAGUGUAUGGCCAGGCCCACUCGCUUGGUAGAUGAAGAAGAAUCUUUCCUCUACCCUUGCAGUUCUGUACGGAGGUCUGCGAACUAAAGUGAUAAAAGCCAGAGAAGCAGUAGAAAGGGGUUAUGUAUACAUAUAGAGGCCUUCACAGAAAAGAAAGGGUCACUCGAAGAAGGAGUCAGAGUUGGGGGCUCAUGUACCAUUUUGACAAAAGGUGGUAAAUUACGGACAGAGCUUAGGAAAUGUCCAUGGGAAAUGAACAGAAGAGAAGGGUUAGUUUAGCAAGGUCUUUGAGGCAGACCGGUCUUGGUCUUGGUGUCUUGUCUCCAGCAAGGAAAGACCUUCUCCUCUCCCUGGAGCAGCCAAGGCACAUUUCUCACAAGCAAUUUAUGCCCUGCUUUCAGGCAGUUACAAGGGGCAGUGGAGUCUUCCAGUGUCUGCUGUUUCUCUACUGCUUUCUGCCCAAAGUAGCAUCUUUUAGGGGUGACCUAAUCUGGCCCCCUUCAGUGUACAUAUUGUCUGUGUUAUCUUCAUGCUUCAAGACAAGUCGUUCAGACAGAGAUUAGACAGCCUGCGAAACCCCAAAUACUGACUCUCUUUGUCCUUUCCUAAUAAGUCUGCUGGCCCUAUUUCUAUAAUGGCAGAAUAGCCUGCAGGGGGGAAAGAAAGGCAGAUGGAUGACAGGGAAGGUGCUGAUCUGAAACAGAACCAACGGAGCACAAUAAAAGACAUAUAUUUACCCUUUUAUGGAUGUUCUCUAUCUCCUUUCUAGGAAGGCAUGAAAUGAUUUUGAUCAUGUGCAAAGGAUCAUUUGAACUUUUCUAAGAUUUGAAGUUGCACAUAUUUUUCUGCUGUUAAAAAAAAAAAAAAAAAAAAAAAAAAAAAAAAAAGGUGUGUUUUGGCCCUUCGCAUGAAGCAGAGAAAAACAGGACUGUGGCUCCUAUUACAUUUCUAUCAGGUCCCCAAGCCAACAGCCUCUAACUGUAAAAGAAACAGCUACCCCAAAAUACCUACGCAAGUAUAACUCCCUCUUCUGAUGUCAUUUGCAUCACGUGGAAUCAUCUCCCAGGAUAACUGAAGGGUAUUUCAUUUUAAACCCUCCUUACUGUAGUUGUUCUCGAAAGAGGUCUAUCCAUAAAGAGGCAAGUCCUUUAUUAAUUUGCACCAAAUUUUUCGUGAGGCUGAUAACUGAAAUUCUGAAGGGAGUAAGUUCAGUUCUUGUGUCACCCGCCUUGAUAAAAAGAGAAGAACUGUUUACCUUGAAAGGAACAAGAAGAACGUGUUCCAAAGAAAUUUUCAAAAACGGGAUGAACAGAAACCAUUUUUCUCUCGCCUCUAAGAGGUACCCCUGAUCCAAGAAGUUCUUAAACCUGACAGAUUUCUCCUCUGAGUAAGCGCGACCCCUUAUCUUUGUUUUCGAAUGGAUGGGGUUCUCGUUUCUUAACGCAUUCAAAAGGCUUUUCUCGUGCGUGAGCAAUUAUUAAUUCAAAGGCCCCACAAUGACUAACUCUAAGCCGCAAAGAGUUGAACAGCACUAGGACAUCCCUAGGUCUCUUCCAAAAACACCACAACAUUGUGUAUUUAUAAUCCAUGCAUUUAGGUGAAGUAUCAGCUCACGCAUCACACGUGCUUUGUGACACAGUCUCAUUGUUCCGAAGAUGAAGCUGAUGCCAGGGAUGGAUGCUGGAAACAAGACAUUUACUGCAUCGAGGGGGACUGUUCCACCAAGGAGGAUCUUAGGUUCUUAAAAGUGACAAGGGGUUCCCUCCAAAUAUAAAAACCUUAGCCCUCCCGUGGAGCAGAGAAAGGGAGAAACAGGAAAAGAGAGAAAUAGGAAAAGUGCCAAGUGGACUUUUCGUUGGUGUUGAUGGAUGCUUCAAAGUCGGCCUAGGUGACGUCUUGAAAGAAAUUUUCCUGGGUUGCUCUUUUAUAAAAAAUUUUAUUGAAACAUCAUCUAAAGGGACAAAAGACAAAAACAAACAAACAAAAAAAGAAACAUAGUCUAUUUACAGGGUCGUGUUCAGGUAUAUGGCAAAGUGAUUUCGUUAUACACACAGACAUAUAUCUACUUUUUUUUACAUUCUCUUCUCUAUCACAGGUCAUUGCAUGAUAUUGAGCAAGUUUCCUGUGCUCUACAGUAGGUCCUUGUUGCUUAUCCAUUUUAUAUAUAGAGUAGGGUGUAUAGAUUAAUCCCAAACUGGAUGCUUCUCUGAAUGAUACAAAAACGUUGAUGGCUAAGAGAAGAUCUUAUGAAAGCAGAAGUCCUUGACCUUGGCCUCACUUAGGAUAAUCUCCUAAGAAGGCUGAAAAAUCCCGUUGGCCCUGGGAUUCUUGCUUGAAUCUCAUGGGUAGGACUCAGGCAUCGUAUUUUUAAUUAUCCAGGUGAUUCCACGUGCAGUCGAGUCCCAGAGCCCCCGGUGAGAGCCAACCACAACAUCCAAGCUCAAGGCCAUGGGAAGAAGGUAAGAAUGAAUAGACAACAGUAGGAAGGAUCUCUCCUGUGUGAGGUUUUCGUCACUUGGUAACAAUGGUUUGUAAAAUACAUCUUCAAGGAGUUCCCGCUAUGGGGCACUAGGAUAGGUGGGGCGCACAGGGUUUGAUCCCUGGCCCUGCACAGUGGGUUAGCUUGCAACUGUGGCUCGGAUCUGACCCCUGGCCCAGGAACUCCCUAGGCUGUGAGGUGGCCGAAAAAGAAAAAAAUAAAAAUCUUCAAAAGCAUGUGUUUGAAAUACACCUCUUCCCCCUAUCAUGGCAAAGACGGCUACGGGUCUGACCAUGAUCCCGACCUGCCGGAUUUGGGACUGGAAAUACGGCAGAAGUGGAAUGGGCUUGCCUUUGGGGAAAGAGGCUGCAGGAUGUUAAAGCCACGGGUUCUAAAGAGUCGAGUCAGAACCUGACCUCAGUGACAUGACAGAUAGGCUUGCCCAAACGGUAGGAACAGUAUUUCUUCUGGUCAUUUCUCCAGAAAGCGUAUCCAGAAAAACCCAAGCUGCGAUUUCUGCGAGAGAGCACAAGAAUUCCAAAAUAUUCAUCGUGGUUAUUUUGACCAAAGUUUGAAAGCUGAGACCAUGGUAGUCAGCAAACAUGAAGUGUUAAAAUUCAUGGCUGAAGGAAUAACUUCUCCUUGGAGCACGCACGUCGCUCACGUGGACCGCGGGGUGAUGACUGCGGGCUGCCCCUCUCUGGUUCCGUGUGGGAAGGAAUACUGCAUUAAAUUUGAUUUAAAUGGCCCCAGAAAAGGCAAUUUAGCACAUGUGCGUGAGCAUUUUAUUAUCGAGAGGAAAUUCAUUUCACAGGCAGAGAACCCACAACAAGACAUAUCAUGGUUGACAGUAUUCGGCGUCCUCGUUAAUGAUUCCAAGAGAGCCGCAGCGCCGAGACGUGACAAAGAAGCCUGACAUCGCAGGUUUGGGCCGAAUGCAAAGCGGCCAGGUCCUUGCAGCAAUGCUUCCCAGCGCCAUUUCCAGAUGCCCUGCCUUUUCCCGGCUGGAUCCCUGCCCACGG